CCUACGGGAGGCAGCAGUAAGGAAUAUUGGACAAUGGGCGCAAGCCUGAUCCAGCCAUGCCGCGUGAAGGAUUAAGGUCCUCUGGAUUGUAAACUUCUUUUAUAGGGGACGAAAAAAGGGCAUUCUUGUUCACUUGACGGUACCCUAUGAAUAAGCACCGGCUAACUCCGUGCCAGCAGCCGCGGUAAUACGGAGGGUGCAAGCGUUAUCCGGAUUCACUGGGUUUAAAGGGUGCGUAGGCGGGCAGGUAAGUCAGUGGUGAAAUCCUAGAGCUUAACUCUAGAACUGCCAUUGAUACUAUCUGUCUUGAAUAUUGUGGAGGUAAGCGGAAUAUGUCAUGUAGCGGUGAAAUGCUUAGAUAUGACAUAGAACACCUAUUGCGAAGGCAGCUUACUACGCAUAUAUUGACGCUGAGGCACGAAAGCGUGGGGAUCAAACAGGAUUAGAUACCCUGGUAGUCCACGCCUAACGAUAGAUACUCGACAUACGCGAUACACUGUGUGUGUNUGAGNGAAGACAUUAAGUAUCCACCGUCGGAAGUACGUCCGCGAGAGAGAAGUUAAAUAGAGUUAGACGGCGUGAGAGNGCCGACGGACGACGACGAGGGGAGGUAGG
RNAcentral lists this ribosomal RNA (615 nucleotides) under uncultured bacterium. RNAcentral describes it as "bacterial SSU rRNA". The stretch from base 1 to 532 matches the Rfam family "Bacterial small subunit ribosomal RNA", at positions 338 to 873 of the family's 1533-position model. The record is from RNAcentral.